GACGAACGCUGGCGGCGUGCUUAACACAUGCAAGUCGAACGAAGUGGCGAACGGGUGAGUAACGCGUAAUCAACCUGCCCUUCAGAGGGGGACAACAGUUGGAAACGACUGCUAAUACCGCAUACUGAAGGAGGGGAUUGCGUCUGAUUAGCUCGUUGGAGGGGUAACGGCCCACCAAGGCGAUGAUCAGUAGCCGGGCUGGAGGGAUGAACGGCCAAAAUGGGACUGAGACACGGCCCAAACGCCUACGGGGGGCAGCAUGGGGGAAUCUUCCGCAAUGGACGAAAGUCUGACGGAGCAACGCCGGGGGAGUGAUGGAGGCCUUCGGGUUGUAAAGCUCUGUUAAGCGGGACGCGGUACCGGAAUAGAAAGCCACGGCUAACUACGUGCCAGCAGCCGCGGUAAUUC
This 408-nucleotide ribosomal RNA is filed under the name uncultured bacterium. Its description in RNAcentral is "partial 16S ribosomal RNA". It matches the Rfam family "Bacterial small subunit ribosomal RNA", at positions 28 to 526 of the family's 1533-position model. The record is from RNAcentral.